This 836-nucleotide long non-coding RNA is filed under the name Drosophila guanche. The record is from RNAcentral. Lineage: Eukaryota; Metazoa; Arthropoda; Insecta; Diptera; Drosophilidae.
GUUGUUUGUAACCCCCAUUAUUUCUACCCUAACCCUUAAAACUAUUUUUACUGCAUGGGUAUAUAUAUGUGGGACUAAUUUAAUACAUAGGAAUUCAAGAGAAUGAUCAAAUAUGAAUAAAAAUAAUAUAAUCAAAAUAUAAAGUAAGAAUUAAUUAAUUAAAUGAAUUAAAUGGCAUAAUUGUAGUGAUUAUAGAUAAUAAUAAUUCAUCUUAUAUAUGGUUAAGCAUGCAUGUCUCACUGUGUAGACGCUAUUCUCCUGACCCGGAGUGUAUGUGUGUAUAUGUGUGUCUACUUACAGACUUUUAAACAGCUGUUGGUGUCGUUGGGCCCAAUUUCACGUUCUAACUGUUAAAUAAAUGUAGAAAUAUGCAAAAUAACAAAGAAGCGUUAUGAAGAGGUAUUUUACCAAUACCCUUCCAUGGACACAAUGAGACCGAUGAUGCACCCUUUUAGAAUCUAUUAUUAACUACGCAUAAAUUUCAUGUUUUUCUUCUUCUAUUUCUAAGUUAAUGUCUAGGAAUAUUUAAUACUAUUGAACAAUUUUCUUUUCUAUUUUUCUUCUUCUAUCCAUGAUUUUGCAUUAAGUUUUCUUUUCUAGAUUUUUGUGAUUCACUUUUCUUCCCUUAAGUGGCUUUUAGAAUGUCGGCAUCGAACAAUUUUAAUAACCUGAGAGAAGGAGAGAAUAGGUGACAUACGGUCAGGUGGGUCUAUUUAAGUGCGCAUAGGUCAGCCGCAAGGGCAAUGACCGCUGAGCUAAUUUUUCCACACCCUACAUAUGCAAGCACCAACAUUUCUUUACACAAGGCGCGGUGAUAUAAUAUAAUAGAUGGUUUU